Molecule: small RNA, 2054 nt
Filed under: Rattus norvegicus (Norway rat)
Lineage: Eukaryota; Metazoa; Chordata; Mammalia; Rodentia; Muridae
Description: uncharacterized LOC102554074
Source: RNAcentral
GAAGCAGGUGAGGUCCUCAAAUGUCUGGGAGAAACAGUUCAGGGGCUCUGUGCCCAAGGCCAGCAAGAAGACAUCUGAGAACAGAGUUGUUCCAUACGGGUUAUAGGCUACGUUUGUUCAUUUCUAUGAAGAAAGCAAGUGAGCUCCAGACAGAGGCGUGCAAGUCUAUAGAUCACAUGUGAAGUCUCAUGAGACACCAAUAUCACCUGCCUUCCAGGUUGUUAAUCAGAGGACAUCGAUCACUUCAUCCGACAGGCAACGCUUCACUUUCACCCAGUCCCUGCAUAAUCCCUGUUCCACAGUGCAGCCAGAGUGAUGCUUCCAACACAAAAAUGCCAGCUUUGGACCCGUGGGCAGCUCAGUGGGCUACAGCACUUCCUGCACAUCCCAAGACACCCAACUUUCAUCCCAGAACCCAAGUGAAGUGGAAAGAGAGAACAAGCCCCACAGACGGUCCUCUGACCUCCACACACUCGCUGUGGCGCACUUGCCCACACAGGUCGCUCUUACAGUAUGGACUACCCACCUCUGGAUUUUACUGUAUGUUACACAUCUGCCACCUGUCAAGGACAUCCUCAUCUACAGGCAGGGUUUCAUGAAGUCCAGGCUGACCUCUGACCAGGAUGACCUUGAACUUCUGACUCUCUUGCCUCUAUUCCCCCCCAGUACUCGGAGUGCAGACCUAUAAUAUUAUGCCCAGUUUCUACGGUGCUGGGAAUCGGACCCAGGGCUUUGUGCAUUCUAGGCUAAUACUCUGUUCACUGAACUACAUUCCCAGCCCUAGACAACUUUAUUUAAAAAAAGAUAUAUUCUAUUUUUUAAGGUGUGUGUAUGUGUAUGUGGGGGUGGGUGAGUGUCAUGUGAGUACAAAUUCCUGUGGAGGCCAGCCUUCAGAGGGUCUCGGAUCUUCUGGAACUAGAUCUAGUUAUAAGCACUGGUUGUGGGCACCGAGACACAAACUCAGAGCCUUUGGGAAAGCAGGACAUGCACUUGAUCACCGACCCAUCUCUCCAGCCCUAGGACGGCCUUUUUCAAUGCCUGCCCCUGGACCACAUCCCUGCAGUGAGUGUCACGCUGAAGGUUCAUCUCCACAGGUCCCAUCUACCCCACAUCAGCCUCCCGUUCACUCCAGUGAAUUUCUUCUUCUUGAAUCACUUCAGGUUCCACACGUUCAGCUCUGUUCACUACAGAUCUUUGCAUUGUUGUAGAGUCCGCCAUCGUCAGAUAGCACUUAGCUACUACGUACAGGGCCCAGGCUUUCGGAAGACCUGAUUUGACACCAGCAACGACGAGGUAUGUAUAAUCAACCCCAUUUCUCAGAGGAGAAAAACAGGCUCAGAGAGGUUAAAUGGUGUGAGGAAGGCCACACAGGCAAUAUGUGGCACACAAGCACCUGAGCUCCAGUCUGUCAGUCUAGGAUCUGUGGUGUUAACUACACGGUCACAGUGGGUUGUUCAUCUGAUUCAUUGGGGAGAAAAAGAUUACACCUGUUUCCUAAGACCCUGUAGAGACAGCUGAGAACUCCCAUGAGCAAUCAAAGGGAAAGCAAGUCAGACAGACCACACACCACGGGAGUGUGGGUGGGGAUGAGGAAGGGACUCCCUUUCAGCUAGGAGAGGAACACCUCCCCCAGUACCACUCCAAAGGAAUUUACCUCAUCUGGCUGAGGUUGGAGGGCCUCUGCCUCUCUCCUUUUAGACCAAUUAGCUGGUUGUAAGCUGGUGACCUGCCAGAGAAGGGCUGCCUAGAAGUCAAAAGUGAGAGGAACACAAGUCCUCCAAAUCCAGCCACCAUCUCUCUGGGGCAGAAUGUCACUUGGAGCUAAACUGUGCUUCAGCCAAUCCUGGCAUAGACCGUGUUGGGGCAGAGCAAAGACUCUGAGGCUGGGGUGACUCCCCAUAGAUGCAGGGAGACAUCCUGGUGAGGAGGUUGGGAAGCAGGUAGGGGACCAAAGAGAAACUGUACCGUGAUUGGGAUGGAGGUGGGGACUGGUAGCAUGUGUGGUGUAUGUGGCCAAAGGGUCCUCCAGAACACCUAGUGCCCUGACGUAAGGG